Molecule: unclassified non-coding RNA, 253 nt
Filed under: uncultured Halomonadaceae bacterium
Lineage: Bacteria; Pseudomonadati; Pseudomonadota; Gammaproteobacteria; Oceanospirillales; Halomonadaceae
Description: contains 16S-23S intergenic spacer region
Rfam family: Bacterial small subunit ribosomal RNA
Source: RNAcentral
UACGGAGGGUGCGAGCGUUAAUCGGAAUUACUGGGCGUAAAGCGUGCGUAGGCGGCUUGAUAAGCCGGUUGUGAAAGCCCCGGGCUCAACCUGGGGACGGCAUCCGGAACUGUCGGGCCAGAGUGCAGGAGAGGACGGUAGAAUUCCCGGUGUAGCGGUGAAAUGCGUAGAGAUCGGGAGGAAUACCAGUGGCGAAGGCGGCCUUCUGGACUGACACUGACGCUGAGGCGCGAAAGCGUGGGGAGCAAACAGG